GACGAACGCUGGCGGCGUGCCUAACACAUGCAAGUCGAACGGAAAGGCCCGGCUUUGGGGGGGUGCUCGAGGUGCGAACGGGUGAGCAACACGUGAGUAACCUGUCCCUGACCGUGGGAGAACUUCAUGAAACUUGGGGUAAUAGCGGCUAGGAUCUCCUGCUGCAGGGUGGGCGCUGGAUAGUUUCGGUGGUUGGGGAUGUACUGGCGUCUUAUCAGCUUGUUGGUGGGGUAGUGGCUUACCAAGGCUUUGACGGGUAGCAGUCCUGAGAGGGUGACAGGACACACUGGGCCUGAGAUAAGGCCCAGACUCGUCUGGGACGCAGAGGUGGAGAGGAUUACACUGUGGGCGGGAGCAUGGUGUGGUAACGCCGCGUGCGGGAUGACGGGCUUCGGGUUGUAUACCGAUUUCGCCUGUGCCGGGGCGUGAGUGACGGUAACGGGUAAAUAAGCACCGGCUAACUCCGUG
RNAcentral lists this ribosomal RNA (468 nucleotides) under uncultured bacterium. Its description in RNAcentral is "partial 16S ribosomal RNA". It matches the Rfam family "Bacterial small subunit ribosomal RNA", at positions 28 to 507 of the family's 1533-position model. The record is from RNAcentral.